AACGAACGCUGGCGGCAUGCCUAACACAUGCAAGUCGAACGAGACCUUCGGGUCUAGUGGCGCACGGGUGCGUAACGCGUGGGAACCUGCCCUUAGGUUCGGAAUAACUCCCCGAAAGGGGUGCUAAUACCGGGUAAUGUUAUCGGACCCAAGCUUUAUCGCCUUUGGAUGGGCCCGCGUUGGAUUAGCUAGUUGGUAGGGUAAAAGCCUGCCAAGGCGACGAUCCAUAGCUGGUCUGAGAGGAUGAUCAGCAGCACUGGGACUGAGACACAGACCAGACUCCUACGGGAGGCAGCAGUGGAGAGUAUUGUACAAUGGGCGAAAGCGUGAUCCAGCAAUGCCGCGUGAGUGAUGAAUGCCUUAGGGUUGUAAAGCUCUUUUACCCGGGAUGAUAAUGACAGUACCGGGAGAAUAAGCUCCGGCUAACUCCGUG
Molecule: ribosomal RNA, 433 nt
Filed under: uncultured bacterium
Lineage: Bacteria
Description: partial 16S ribosomal RNA
Rfam family: Bacterial small subunit ribosomal RNA
Source: RNAcentral